This 253-nucleotide ribosomal RNA is filed under the name uncultured bacterium. RNAcentral's name for it is "partial 16S ribosomal RNA". It matches the Rfam family "Bacterial small subunit ribosomal RNA", at positions 524 to 776 of the family's 1533-position model. The record is from RNAcentral.
UACGUAGGUGGCUAGCGUUGUCCGGAUUUACUGGGCGUAAAGAGCGCGCAGGCGGUCGUUCAAGUCGAGUGUGAAAGCCCCCGGCUCAACUGGGGAGGGUCACUCGAUACUGAUCGACUUGAAGGCAGGAGAGGGAAGCGGAAUUCCCGGUGUAGUGGUGAAAUUCGUAGAUAUCGGGAGGAACACCAGUGGCGAAGGCGGCGAUCUGGGAAGAUACUGACGCUGAGGUGCGAAAGCGUGGGGAGCAAACAGG